This is a long non-coding RNA of Galeopterus variegatus (Sunda flying lemur), 202 nucleotides long. RefSeq lists it as uncharacterized. The record is from RefSeq and is a predicted model, not a curated record. The transcript has 3 exons. NCBI's taxonomy places the organism in Eukaryota, Metazoa, Chordata, Mammalia, Dermoptera, Cynocephalidae.
AAACUUGAGGGAGAGAGAGACUUGCCAACCAAUAAUGGCAAUACAACGUGACAAGUGCUGCUAUGGAAUUUUGGACAAACUGAAAAUAAAGGUGGUCCAAGGAUUUGGAGUGUGAGCACCUUGAACCGAUAAGUUAUGGGAAGUAAGACUUGAAGAACUUAAUCUGUACUUCCUGAUCCGUUCAUCCUGUGGCUGUCACUAG